This 393-nucleotide ribosomal RNA is filed under the name uncultured bacterium. RNAcentral describes it as "partial 16S ribosomal RNA". It matches the Rfam family "Bacterial small subunit ribosomal RNA", at positions 523 to 918 of the family's 1533-position model. The record is from RNAcentral.
AUACGGAGGAUCCGAGCGUUAUCCGGAUUUAUUGGGUUUAAAGGGAGCGUAGGUGGAUUGUUAAGUCAGUUGUGAAAGUUUGCGGCUCAACCGUAAAAUUGCAGUUGAAACUGGCAGUCUUGAGUAUAGUAGAGGUGGGCGGAAUUCGUGGUGUAGCGGUGAAAUGCUUAGAUAUCACGAAGAACUCCGAUUGCGAAGGCAGCUCACUAGACUGCAACUGACACUGAUGCUCGAAAGUGUGGGUAUCAAACAGGAUUAGAUACCCUGGUAGUCCACACAGUAAACGAUGAAUACUCGCUGUUUGCGAUAUACAGUAAGCGGCCAAGCGAAAGCAUUAAGUAUUCCACCUGGGGAGUACGCCGGCAACGGUGAAACUCAAAGGAAUUGACGGGG